UACGGAGGGGGCUAGCGUUGUUCGGAAUUACUGGGCGGAAAGCGCACGUAGGCGGACCUGCAAGUUGGGGGUGAAAUCCCGGGGCUCAACCCCGGAACUGCCUCCAAAACUGCUGGUCUGGAGGUCGAGAGAGGUGAGUGGAAUUCCGAGUGUAGAGGUGAAAUUCGUAGAUAUUCGGAGGAACACCAGUGGCGAAGGCGGCUCACUGGCUCGAUACUGACGCUGAGGUGCGAAAGCGUGGGGAGCAAACAGG
Molecule: ribosomal RNA, 253 nt
Filed under: uncultured bacterium
Lineage: Bacteria
Description: partial 16S ribosomal RNA
Rfam family: Bacterial small subunit ribosomal RNA
Source: RNAcentral